This 439-nucleotide ribosomal RNA is filed under the name uncultured bacterium. Its description in RNAcentral is "partial 16S ribosomal RNA". It matches the Rfam family "Bacterial small subunit ribosomal RNA", at positions 338 to 795 of the family's 1533-position model. The record is from RNAcentral.
CCUACGGGAGACAGCAGUGGGGAAUAUUGCACAAUGGGCGAAAGCCUGAUGCAGCAACGCCGCGUGAGCGAUGAAGGCCUUCGGGUCGUAAAGCCCUGUCCUCAAGGAAGAUAAUGACGGUACUUGAGGAGGAAGCCCCGGCUAACUACGUGCCAGCAGCCGCGGUAAUACGUAGGGGGCUAGCGUUAUCCGGAAUUACUGGGCGUAAAGGGUGCGUAGGUGGUUUCUUAAGUCAGAGGUGAAAGGCUAGGGCUCAACCGUAGUAAGCCUUUGAAACUGGGGAACUUGAGUGCAGGAGAGGAGAGUGGAAUUCCUAGUGUAGCGGUGAAAUGCGUAGAUAUUAGGAAGAACACCAGUUGCGAAGGCGGCUCUCUGGACUGUAACUGACACUGAGGCACGAAAGCGUGGGGAUCAAACAGGAUUAGAUACCCGAGUAGUC